GAUCAUGGCUCAGGAUGAACGCUGGCGGCGUGCUUAACACAUGCAAGUCGAACGGAGUUAGAUGAAACCUAGUGAUUCUAAACUUAGUGGCGGACGGGUGAGUAACGCGUGGGUAACCUGCCAUAUACAGGGGGAUAACACUUAGAAAUAGGUGCUAAUACCGCAUAAGCGCACAGGACCGCAUGGUCUGGUGUGAAAAAACUCCGGUGGUAUAUGAUGGACCCGCGUCUGAUUAGCUAGUUGGUGAGGUAACGGCCCACCAAGGCGACGAUCAGUAGCCGGCCUGAGAGGGUGAACGGCCACAUUGGGACUGAGACACGGCCCAAACUCCUACGGGAGGCAGCAGUGGGGAAUAUUGCACAAUGGGGGAAACCCUGAUGCAGCGACGCCGCGUGAGUGAAGAAGUAUUUCGGUAUGUAAAGCUCUAUCAGCAGGAAAGAAAAUGACGGUACCUGACUAAGAAGCCCCGGCUAACUACGUGCCAGCAGCGGC
This 492-nucleotide ribosomal RNA is filed under the name uncultured bacterium. RNAcentral describes it as "bacterial SSU rRNA". It matches the Rfam family "Bacterial small subunit ribosomal RNA", at positions 15 to 518 of the family's 1533-position model. The record is from RNAcentral.